UACGUAGGGUGCGAGCGUUGUCCGGAAUUAUUGGGCGUAAAGAGCUCGUAGGCGGCUUGUCGCGUCGGAUGUGAAAGCCCGGGGCUUAACUCCGGGUCUGCAUUCGAUACGGGCAGGCUAGAGUUCGGUAGGGGAGAUCGGAAUUCCUGGUGUAGCGGUGAAAUGCGCAGAUAUCAGGAGGAACACCGGUGGCGAAGGCGGAUCUCUGGGCCGAUACCGACGCUGAGGAGCGAAAGCGUGGGGAGCGAACAGG
RNAcentral lists this ribosomal RNA (253 nucleotides) under uncultured bacterium. RNAcentral's name for it is "partial 16S ribosomal RNA". It matches the Rfam family "Bacterial small subunit ribosomal RNA", at positions 524 to 776 of the family's 1533-position model. The record is from RNAcentral.